GAUGAACGCUAGCGGCAGGCUUAACACAUGCAAGUCGAGGGGUAUAGUUCUUCGGAAUUAGAGACCGGCGCACGGGUGCGUAACGCGUAUGCAAUCUACCUUUCACAGAGGGAUAGCCCCAGAGAAAUUUGGAUUAAUACCUCAUAGUAUAGCAGUUUCGCAUGAAACCACUAUUAAAGUCACAACGGUGAAAGAUGAGCAUGCGUCCCAUUAGCUAGUUGGUAAGGUAACGGCUUACCAAGGCAACGAUGGGUAGGGGUCCUGAGAGGGAGAUCCCCCACACUGGUACUGAGACACGGACCAGACUCCUACGGGAGGCAGCAGUGAGGAAUAUUGGACAAUGGGCGCAAGCCUGAUCCAGCCAUGCCGCGUGCAGGAUGACGGUCCUAUGGAUUGUAAACUGCUUUUAUACAGGAAGAAACACUACUUCGUGAAGUAGCUUGA
Molecule: ribosomal RNA, 444 nt
Filed under: uncultured bacterium
Lineage: Bacteria
Description: bacterial SSU rRNA
Rfam family: Bacterial small subunit ribosomal RNA
Source: RNAcentral